GCUUGGCCAUCACGGAAGUUCGGCUCUUUUUACUGACUCGGGUCUUUUCGACUCGUUUAGCCAAAAGAACGAAUCAUACUGAGGUAAAUAGUAAUAUGCUCUAAACCGCUCUGGUGACAAACAAACUUUGCUGGCCUGUUUCCAAUCAUCCACAUGGCUGGGAGAACCUAUUCAAAUACAGAGAGCUGUGAAAGACUGUCUGCAGAUGAAGAGGUCCCAAUUAAGAGCAGUGGUUCUCAGUCCUGGUCCUGGGGACUCACUUGUUUUUGCCUUAACACUAUUGUAUACAGCUGAUUCAAAGGAUCAACUCAUCAUCAAGCUUCAAGUGGUAUUUAUGUAUUCAUUUGUGAUGCUAUCCUGGAUAUGAUCCUGAUGUUGUCACAUGCUACUGUUAGGUUCUGAACAAACAGAGUAAAAACUCAAACGGACGACUUGAAAAAGCUCAAACCAAGUUUAUUCACCCACUGGGUCAUACAGCUGCAAAGAGAAGGUAUGAUUACAAAAUUAUAUAUAUUUAUAACCUCCUAAUAGGCGGGAUCAACUCGUUACACAUCUAGACAGCCAAUACAUCUCUUUUGCAAGGCCGGAACUUAAUUGGUUGCUCUCACUGGUGUAGUCAUGGCCCUGCAUGAUGCUAGAACCUUCGUGGGCGUGGAAGUGUAUGUGUGUGAGAUAGGACUGUAGUAGGAGGAUCGUCGUGGUGGGCCCCUCUGCUAGAACCUUUGUGGAAGUGUAUGUGUGUGAGAUAGGACUGUAGUAGGAGGAUCGUCGUGGUGGGCCCCUCUGCUAGAACCUUUGUGGAAGUGUAUGUGUGUGAGAUAGGACUGUAGUAGGAGGAUCGUCGUGGUGAGCCCCUCUGGACCCCCUCCCAGAGGUUUCUUCUCACUUCACCUGUUGACUUGACCUCGAGCCGAAUUCCUCGCUCUUCCCUAGAUCUGCAGCUGGCCUGCCUUAUCAGAGACUAACUAUUGCCCUUCGCCUCCCUCCUUAGAAAUAUGGAACAGAAUAUUAACUUUCUGCACUUCCCAUUAUCUCACUCAGUAACUUUCCAUACACUAUGUCCCUUCAUUGACCCCAACAUAUACAUUCCUUAUACAUGUAAAGUAGUCAAUAAGUUAUAGUAUGGUAACAUGAAUAAGUAUAUUUCAAGCUAGAAUCCAACAGUCCCUCCUUUUUUAAGGAGUGUAGUGUGUUACUAAUGGUUUUCUUUGAGACUGUGGUCCCAGCUCUCUUCAGGUCAUUGACCAGGUCCU
Coregonus clupeaformis (lake whitefish) is the source of this 1253-nucleotide long non-coding RNA. RefSeq lists it as uncharacterized. The transcript has 3 exons. The record is from RefSeq and is a predicted model, not a curated record. Lineage: Eukaryota; Metazoa; Chordata; Actinopteri; Salmoniformes; Salmonidae.